Molecule: ribosomal RNA, 21 nt
Filed under: Trebouxia jamesii
Lineage: Eukaryota; Viridiplantae; Chlorophyta; Trebouxiophyceae; Trebouxiales; Trebouxiaceae
Also listed under: 4 other names
Description: partial 26S ribosomal RNA
Source: RNAcentral
UGAGGUCAGGCAAGAACACCC